UACGGAGGGUGCAAGCAUUAAUCGGAUUUAUUGGGCGUAAAGGGCGCGUAGGCGGACUAGUAAGUCAGACGUGAAAUCCCGGGGCUCAACCCCGGAACUGCAUUUGAAACUACUAGUCUCGAGGGUAGGCGGAGAAAACGGAAUUCCACAAGUAGCGGUGAAAUGCGUAGAUAUGUGGAAGAACACCGGUGGCGAAGGCGGUUUUCUAGCUUAUUCCUGACGCUGAGGCGCGAAAGCAAGGGGAUCAAACAG
RNAcentral lists this ribosomal RNA (252 nucleotides) under uncultured bacterium. Its description in RNAcentral is "partial 16S ribosomal RNA". It matches the Rfam family "Bacterial small subunit ribosomal RNA", at positions 524 to 775 of the family's 1533-position model. The record is from RNAcentral.